UGGACAUUUCAAACUCUUGCGUAACUUUGCAGUCUGAGUAAAUUUAAUUAAUAAAUUAAAACUUUCAACAACGGAUCUCUUGGUUCUGGCAUCGAUGAAGAACGCAGCGAAAUGCGAUAAGUAAUGUGAAUUGCAGAAUUCAGUGAAUCAUCGAAUCUUUGAACGCACAUUGCGCCCCCUGGUAUUCCGGGGGGCAUGCCUGUUCGAGCGUCAUUUCACCACUCAAGCCUCGCUUGGUAUUGGGCGACGCGGUCCGCCGCGCGCCUCAAAUCGACCGGCUGGGUCUUUCGUCCCCUCAGCGUUGUGGAAACUAUUCGCUAAAGGGUGCCGCGGGAGGCCACGCCGUAAAACAACCCCAUUUCUAAGGUUGACCUCGGAUCAGGUAGGGAUACCCGCUGAACUUAAGCAUAUC
Molecule: ribosomal RNA, 412 nt
Filed under: Cladosporium sp. TVG10-CMA-7
Lineage: Eukaryota; Fungi; Ascomycota; Dothideomycetes; Cladosporiales; Cladosporiaceae
Description: eukaryotic LSU rRNA
Rfam family: 5.8S ribosomal RNA (bases 60-213)
Source: RNAcentral